UGUUGGUGGAGCCGUUGUUGAAAUACCACCCUUUGUUUACUUAGAGCCUAACUCGGAAACGAGGACAUUGCGUGGUGGGUAGUUUGACUGGGGCGGUCUCCUCCUAAAGAGUAACGGAGGAGUACGAAGGUGCGCUCAGCGUGGUCGGAAAUCACGCGUAGAGUAUAAAGGCAAAAGCGCGCUUAACUGCGAGACCCACAAGUCGAGCAGGUACGAAAGUAGGUCUUAGUGAUCCGGUGGUUCUGUAUGGAAGGGCCAUCGCUCAACGGAUAAAAGGUACUCUGGGGAUAACAGGCUG
This 298-nucleotide ribosomal RNA is filed under the name bacterium LRH843. Its description in RNAcentral is "partial 23S ribosomal RNA". It matches the Rfam family "Bacterial large subunit ribosomal RNA", at positions 2175 to 2484 of the family's 2925-position model. The record is from RNAcentral.